GACGCCCCUCGCUGGAAAUCUCGCGCGAGGUGAUUCUUCCCCUUUCCCGUCGGAGCCGACAAGAACAGAGGCAAACAGAGAAAAUAUCCUGUCGGAUGUGGUAAAGCUGGAGGCAUUAACUUUGACAAAUAAUAAGGAAACACUUUCGGUCACUCUAUAAAUCAGUUGCUAUGAGAUAUUACUAUUUGAAGAAUAACAAGUAUUACUGCUCCACAGACCACCUAAAUAAGCUCUGAAUGCUUGUUAGUGAGCAGACAAGAUUGAAGUAUUCCAGAAAGUGAGCCAGAUGGCACCGGCUUAAUUCCUCUGUCAACGUUUACUUGACUUCAGAUAGCCACAUGGAGGCUCUGCAGGCUACCCAUCUGUAUGCCAUCUCCAGGAAACGCCCAGGAACUGCUCAUCCCUACUGCCAUGGCAACUAAGCUGCAACUCACAGUCCCAUCUUUUUUACACAGCUCUGCCAGUCUCCCCAUUGCUUGGCAACAAGAAUGGAUCAGCAGCCCAUUUGGGCAAGUAUUUGCAUAUUGCUACAAGGGCUGGGAUUGAGCCUCACAAUGCAGGUUCAGACUAAAAUUUGAGUUCUUUAGGUAACAGCUGUGUCUGUGAAAUUUUAGAAAUGGGGGGAGAGAAGAUGAUCAGGAGUUUUUAUGCUGAGGGACCUUGAUUAUUUCACAUGAGCCUAGGACUAUUAGGUAGUGGUUUCUACUCUCUUCCCACUCCAUCCACUUUCUCCAUCUAUGAAUGUGGCAAAUAAAUAUUGCAAGCGUAGGAAGUGCAUUUCACACUGAGUCCUAAGGACAUAGUGAUUGAAGAUUAAAGAAAGCCAGUCACUGGAAAGGGAUUAUAUAUUUUACCCCUUCCCAUCUGCAUUUCAGGAUUGUGAACAGUCGUUAAGCCAUCACUGUGCUCUGCCACUAUAGCUCGCUGCCAAGUUUUAAGGGCUGCAUGAAGAUAAAAGCUAAUUUCAGGGAUUACGUAAAAGCAGCCAAAAUAUUAACUGGAAAGUCUUCAGAAGCCUUCUUCCUGCUUUUCCAAGCUUGUAGUGGAGUUUGACUGCUCUGUGCCAUGGACUUUUGUCCCAUGUUGCAUUUUUUAAAAAAAAUUACAUUGUGGAAAGGCUUUUAGAAAGUUAGGAAUAGUCAUAAUUGUGAUCUUCAGUUUCAAGGAAUAAAAAUGUAUGGUGGCAUUUCAAUAAUUCAUUUGGAUGAUUAGACGUUUAGUCAUUUUUAGUAUUAAUCAAUACAUUCAGCAGAAGGCUCAUCCGUCUCUGCUUUUAGUUUUGCAGAAAUGUGUUUUUUUCUCUCUACUGCAUGACCAGGCCACCAUGAUAAGGAACAAUGACAGAUUAUCAUGAUCAAUCUUUCUCCUGCUCAAAGAAAGGCACUUAUGAAUUUUACAUGAAAGUUUUAAUAGCUUGAAACACAAAUUUUUUAAAAAUAUGAAAAGUUAAAUAUAAAACAAGUAUAAUAUGACA
Molecule: long non-coding RNA, 1474 nt
Organism: Candoia aspera
Lineage: Eukaryota; Metazoa; Chordata; Lepidosauria; Squamata; Candoiidae
Exons: 4
Source: RefSeq, a predicted model, not a curated record